This is a ribosomal RNA of Crocodylus porosus (Australian saltwater crocodile), 119 nucleotides long. NCBI's taxonomy places the organism in Eukaryota, Metazoa, Chordata, Crocodylia, Crocodylidae. The record is from Ensembl.
UUGUGUGGCUGUGUCUUACUGAAUGCAACUGAUCUCACCUAAUUUUGGAAGUUCAGCAGUCCUGGGCCUAGUUACCACUUGGAUGAGAGAUUAUUUUGGAAUCCCAGCUGCCUUAGAGA